AUUUAUGAUCUCACAAAUGAAGCAACGACACUGAUGCUAGAAGCGGACAAAAACGUCGAAGAGUUCGAUAGGACCUAUGAUGCCUUUACAACGGACUACAUCAUUGAUACAUACCGGGAAUGGAGGGAAAAACAAACCUUGCUGGACACCAUUGCAUCUGCACGCAGAUCCAGGGAUGCUAGUGUGGGGAAGAUGCCAGAGGAGUAGUUUUGUGCUUCAAAUACUAAUCGCCGAGCCUCAUCUCUCCA
Prunus mume (Japanese apricot) is the source of this 248-nucleotide non-coding RNA. NCBI's taxonomy places the organism in Eukaryota, Viridiplantae, Streptophyta, Magnoliopsida, Rosales, Rosaceae. The record is from RefSeq and is a predicted model, not a curated record.